This 259-nucleotide ribosomal RNA is filed under the name uncultured bacterium. Its description in RNAcentral is "partial 16S ribosomal RNA". It matches the Rfam family "Bacterial small subunit ribosomal RNA", at positions 95 to 353 of the family's 1533-position model. The record is from RNAcentral.
CCGGCGCACGGGUGAGUAACACGUAUCCAACCUGCCGUCUACUCUUGGACAGCCUUCUGAAGGAAGAUUAAUACAAGAUGGCAUCAUGAGUCCGCAUGUUCACAUGAUUAAAGGUAUUCCGGUAGACGAUGGGGAUGCGUUCCAUUAGAUAGUAGGCGGGGUAACGGCCCACCUAGUCUUCGAUGGAUAGGGGUUCUGAGAGGAAGGUCCCCCACAUUGGAACUGAGACACGGUCCAAACUCCUACGGGAGGCAGCAUG